Molecule: ribosomal RNA, 446 nt
Filed under: uncultured bacterium
Lineage: Bacteria
Description: partial 16S ribosomal RNA
Rfam family: Bacterial small subunit ribosomal RNA
Source: RNAcentral
CCUACGGGAGGCAGCAGUCGAGAAUCAUUCACAAUGGGGGAAACCCUGAUGGUGCGACGCCGCGUGGGGGAAUGAAGGUCUUCGGAUUGUAAACCCCUGUCAUGUGGGAGCAAAUUAAAAAGAUAGUACCACAAGAGGAAGAGACGGCUAACUCUGUGCCAGCAGCCGCGGUAAUACAGAGGUCUCAAGCGUUGUUCGGAAUCACUGGGCGUAAAGCGUGCGUAGGCUGUUUCGUAAGUCGUGUGUGAAAGGUGCGGGCUCAACCCGCGGACGGCACAUGAUACUGCGAGACUAGAGUAAUGGAGGGGGAGCCGGAAGUCUCGGUGUAGCAGUGAAAUGCGUAGAUAUCGAGAGGAACACUCGUGGCGAAGGCGGGUUCCUGGACAUUAACUGACGCUGAGGCACGAAGGCCAGGGGAGCGAAAGGGAUUAGAUACCCUAGUAGUC